UCUCCGUAGGUGAACCUGCGGAGGGAUCAUUACAGAGUUCAUGCCCUACGGGGUAGAUCUCCCACCCUAUGUUAUUAUUACUUUGUUGCUUCGGCGGGGCGCUAAGCCCCGGCCCGGCUACCGACCCCGGCUUGUAAGCGCCCGUCAGAGGACCCAAAACCCUGAAUAUUAGUGUCGACUGAGUACUAUAUAAUAGUUAAAACUUUCAGCAACGGAUCUCUUGGUUCUG
RNAcentral lists this unclassified non-coding RNA (229 nucleotides) under plant metagenome. RNAcentral describes it as "partial contains small subunit ribosomal RNA, internal transcribed spacer 1, and 5.8S ribosomal RNA". The record is from RNAcentral.